UACAGAGGGGGCAAGCGUUGUUCGGAAUUACUGGGCGUAAAGGGCGCGUAGGCGGCCUGUUAAGUCGAACGUGAAAUCCCCGGGCUCAACCCGGGAACUGCGUCCGAUACUGGCAGGCUUGAAUCCGGGAGAGGGAUGCGGAAUUCCAGGUGUAGCGGUGAAAUGCGUAGAUAUCUGGAGGAACACCGAUGGCGAAGGCAGCCCCCUGGGCUGAGAUUGACGCUCAGGCACGAAAGCGUGGGGAGAAAACAGG
RNAcentral lists this ribosomal RNA (253 nucleotides) under uncultured bacterium. Its description in RNAcentral is "partial 16S ribosomal RNA". It matches the Rfam family "Bacterial small subunit ribosomal RNA", at positions 524 to 776 of the family's 1533-position model. The record is from RNAcentral.